GACGAACGCUGGCGGCGUGCUUAACACAUGCAAGUCGAACGGAAAGGCCCUGCUUUUGUGGGGUGCUCGAGUGGCGAACGGGUGAGUAACACGUGAGUAACCUGCCCUUGACUGUGGGAUAACUUCAGGAAACUGGGGCUAAUACCGGAUAGGAGCUCCUGCUGCAUGGUGGGGGUUGGAAAGUUUCGGCGUUUGGGGAUGGACUCGCGGCUUAUCAGCUUGUUGGUGGGGUAGUGGCUUACCAAGGCUUUGACGGGUAGCCGGCCUGAGAGGGUGACCGGCCACAUUGGGACUGAGAUACGGCCCAGACUCCUACGGGAGGCAGCAGUGGGGAAUAUUGCACAAUGGGCGGAAGCCUGAUGCAGCAACGCCGCGUGCGGGAUGACGGCCUUCGGGUUGUAAACCGCUUUCGCCUGUGACGAAGCGUGAGUGACGGUAAUGGGUAAAGAAGCACCGGCUAACUACGUG
RNAcentral lists this ribosomal RNA (468 nucleotides) under uncultured bacterium. Its description in RNAcentral is "partial 16S ribosomal RNA". It matches the Rfam family "Bacterial small subunit ribosomal RNA", at positions 28 to 507 of the family's 1533-position model. The record is from RNAcentral.